This 419-nucleotide ribosomal RNA is filed under the name Ephyrina figueirai spinicauda. RNAcentral describes it as "partial 16S ribosomal RNA". It matches the Rfam family "Bacterial large subunit ribosomal RNA", at positions 1932 to 2561 of the family's 2925-position model. The record is from RNAcentral. Lineage: Eukaryota; Metazoa; Arthropoda; Malacostraca; Decapoda; Oplophoridae.
CGCGGUAAUUUGACCGUGCGAAGGUAGCAUAAUCAAUAGUCUCUUAAUUGGAGGCUGGAAUGAAUGGUCGCACAAGAAGUAGUCUGUCUUUUUUAUAAAAAUUGAAUUUAACUUUUAAGUGAAAAGGCUUAGAUUUCUUAGUGGGAAGAUAAGACCCUAUAAAACUUUACAUAGGUAAGGUGGUUUUUAAAUUUAAGUUUAAAUAAAGGUACCUUCACUUUGUUGCGUUGGGGCGAUGAAAAUAUAAGUGUAACUGUUUGUUAAUAAAGAUAAAAGUAUUUAGUAUAGAUUGAUCCUUUAUUAAGGAUUAUAAGAGUAAGUUACUUUAGGGAUAACAGCGUGAUUUUUUCUGAGAGUUCUUAUCGACGAAAGUAGUUGCGACCUCGAUGUUGAAUUAAAAUUUCAUCAGGGUGUAGGAG